Molecule: long non-coding RNA, 4053 nt
Organism: Myotis lucifugus (little brown bat)
Lineage: Eukaryota; Metazoa; Chordata; Mammalia; Chiroptera; Vespertilionidae
Exons: 2
Source: RefSeq, a predicted model, not a curated record
GUUAUGAAAUGCAAACGAGUGAGACGUGUACAUCACCAAAAGCACACGGGAGGUUUUAUGGAGGGCUUACCUGCUGCCAUUAUUUAGGAUAAAAUAUUUCUCCGAGAAUUGCAUCCGGGCACAAAUCUCAGCAAGACUUUCUGUAUUCAUGUAAUCCUUUCCAUAACCCUGUGAGGUAGGUUAGCAAGAAAAAGCCCAAAAGGAGUUUUCUUUUUCUUCUUUCUCAACCAGCCCUGCCCCGAGCCCUGGCUUCACCUGCAUUCCGCGGCUGCGACAAGGCGCCUUUUGUUAAAAUCUGGGGCAAACAGGAGGUGGCUCCCUGCCAAACCGCCUUUAAUCUAUCAGGCUCUCGGCUCUCAGGUGUUCAGGCUCUUGUUGCUUCACUUUUUAGGCCAGCGGUUGCUGUGAGAGGAGCCGAGUGUGUGAGCAUGAGGAGAUGACCAGUGCCACCCGCUGAGGCUGCACCCGCCCACCAGGCCCCCAGCCAGGCGCGGAGGUCCCCACAGCAGCCCCAGGUGUCUGGGUCGGGCCAUUUUGAGAGCCAUCUCCAAGUGUCUUAGGUUACCACAUCUGAUCCUAAAACAGAAGCACUGUAAGCUGACUUGAAUCCUUUUUGGAAUCGUAAGUGUCAACCAGGAAGUACGGGGCCAGAACCCAGGGGGAAGUGAUGGGGUAAAGGCAGGCAGGUGAAACCAGAAUAGGUGAGGCAGGCGGAGCCCUGAACCCGGGCUGCUGACUGGCCUCACAUACCUCUCCAGACACCGGCAACAGCCAGGCGCCUCACAGUUUUGGUGGCUGCAGGCGGGGGAGGAGCAGAAGGAGAAGGAAGUAACACAGUGUAACCACUGGGACAGCAAGUUUUUGCAAUCAUGUGAUCCACACCUUUGAGGAUGCCUAGGAACAUCUGGGGAACACGCUGCAGGGAGAAGCCAGGUGUGCUGGCAGUGGCUCCAAGCAUGGCCAGCUGAGCACUAGAAGUCAACACGCCUCGUUCUGUUCUCACCGAGAAUCCCGAGCUCCCUCUUCUUGACUUUCUCCGUGGACUCCUCAGGUCCACCUUCCUGAAGGGGAGGAGCCACAGAUGGAAGAUGAGGUGAGCAGCCAGGGGCCGAAGAGAAACACACUAAUCAGGGCCCGCCACGCGCCAGGAAUGUACCCUCAAGACGUCCUUCGAGGUGGGUCUGCGGAGCCCCAUGCUCCAGAUGAGCACAACGAGGCACAGAGAAGUCGUUUCCCUGGCCGAGGUCACACAGCUGGUGACAAAGCCAGGUUCUGAACUCAGGUCUGUCUCGUCCCUGUGUUACACGCUGUAGAGAAAUAAUUUAUUCCUUGGGGCCCAUUUAGUGGUAGGUGUUCGAUGAAUCCAACACAAGAUGCCAGGAGGUCACUACAUUUCUGUAAACUCUUACUACCAACAUGGUCUCCUCGAGCCUGCUGCCCAGAUGCUGGUGCCGCUGUGGAAGUGGUAACUCCCUCGGCCACGCGGAGGCCUCUACCAAUGAGACCAUGUGAGCUCCAGGCAAAACCUCACUCUCUCUGAAACAACUCCUUGCAUCCACUACCCCUGGCUCCAGCCAGCUGCACUCAAGCUAUUUACAAAGCUUGCAAAAACAACUGCACCAUCCCAGGCAAUAAAAUGACUGCAAAAGAUUAGUCUUUGCACUGGGCGUCAGCUAAGGGGUCAAAUCUACACCCUCAACUCAAGCCUGUCAAAUCAAUCUUACUCUGGACAUGUGUCUCAGGCCCCUGGGUCUAAGUCCAACACAGGGUGGGAGGAGGAACAUGCUCCAGGAGCCCUGGCCGCCCCUCACCCCAGCACCCGUUGCAGGAGUAGGCAGCCAGAUGGGGCCCAGCUAGGUUCGCGGGCAUUGCUGGCGGUCCUGGGAAGAUUAGCUGAGAUGCUAACCCAAGACUGAGCACUGGAGAGCAGAUUGCUGUACCCCAGCCCCUGUGCGGUCUCAGCAAAUGUCCGGAAUUGGAGGAGCGGAAAGCAUGCUCCGGGUGCUGGGGUGAAGGGGGCAGGACCAGUGAGAGACCAAAAGAGAAACUAGAGGCUGGCAGACUUAAUGACUGACUGUCUUUCUGUAAUCUUGUGAAUUCUGAAAAAAUGGUGAUAGGUAUUUUACAAGCCCCAGCACACCACUUGCCCAGAACUUCUUUUCCAGGUUGGCAGUGCCUGGGGAGUGCCACGGGGCCAGCGCUGAGGGAGGGAAGAAGCAGAGGAGCAGGAGGCCCUGCCCCGGCAGAAGCCCAUCCCUCCCAGCGGUGCUGCCCCUCUGCCCUGGAAACUCCUGAACCCCCGCAUCGGUUGGCACCAGUCUGCCCUUGCUUUGUGCCUUCUUGGAGGCCUCAGAGGCAGGUGUAGCCACGUAGGCACGUGUCAGCUCUUCCAGAGGAGGGGCCAGCCUUCCUGAUUUUGUAAUAAACAUCACUGACAGACCACAGCGAAGUACUCCUUCCAGAGUUCCUGAACUCCAGGCAUGUAUAUUCACUCACCUACUCAACUUCACUCAGAUGUCUAAUGGACAUCGCAGGGUUAACAUGCCCCAAACUGAACUCUCAAUCAUCCCCCUCCAACUUGGCCUGCCCUCAGUCUUCCCCAUCUUGGUCAACGCCAGAACCAUCUUCCCAUGUCCUCAGGCCAAAAACCUUGGAGUAAAAACCUACAUCCAGUCCAUGGGAAAUCCUGUGGACUCUAUCUUUGAGAUAUACCAGCACAGGGGAAUCCAAUCGUUUAUCACCUUCAAACACUAGCCACAGCCCUCUCUCUCCUGGCUUAUCACAAUAGAUUCCUAAAUGGUCUCCUCCCCUCUACCCUUCCUCCUCCUCAGGCUAUUCUCACCCAGAAGCCACUGUAGUUUUUUUUUGUGUGUGUUUUUUUUUAAAUAAGUCAGCUCAUAUCACACUCUGCUAAAAACAAAACAAAACCAACCCCCAACCCUCCAAAGCUUCCCAUCUCAAGUACAACGGCCCACCCCACGACAAAGCCCCACUCAGUCUGGUGAGCAUGGCCACACACACACUUUCUCUCCCUGAUCCCCUUUCCUACUCCCCUCCCUUUGCUCACCUGCCCCAUGCACCUGGCCUCUUGUUCUUCGUUGAAUACACCUGUUCCUACCCCAGGGCCUUUGCAUUUGCUGUUUCCUCUCUGGCAGGGCUCUUUCCUUCUUCCCACCAAUGUCAUUGUAUUUUUCUGUAAUAGUUUCAAAAUAUGUUCAAAUUCAUAGUUUUAAAAUAUAUCAAAUUCUUUGAUACUCCCCUCUCCCCCUCAAGAGGUGGAGCCUAAUGCCUUGCCUGAGUGACUCAGUUCCCGGGAAUAGAAUGUAGUAGCAGUGGUGGCGUGGGGCUUCAGGGACUACGUCACAAGAGGCUCUGCCGUGUCCACCUCAUUUGCUUUCUCUUGGUUCACUCACUCCAGGGGAAGCCAGCUGCCAUGUCCUGAGGACAUUCAGGCUGCUCUGUGGGCAGGUCCACAUGGCGAGAAACUGAGGCCUCUACCCACAGCCAAGGAGUGAGUCACCUUGGAGCCAGCAGUUGGGCAUGUAGAUGCGCCCUAGCCAACUGCUUGAUUCAGAGACCCCGGGCCAGAACCACCCAGCUUCUAGUACAUGCCCCAAACUGAACUCCGAAACCUCCUCCUCCAACUUGGCCUGCCCUCAGUCUUCCCUGUCUUGAUUCAUAGUCACAGAUUCUGACCCUCAGGAACCGAGAGAAUAAAUCAUAGUUGUUUUAAGCUUCUAAAUUCGGUGGUAAUUUGUUAUGCAAUAAUGGUUUAUCAAUAUGCUUGCUUCCUCAUUCCCUUCAAGUUUGGCUGCAAUGUCACCUUCUGGGAGCCGCCUUCCUUAACCACCCGCCCUAUUGCAGCUGAAAUCUCCCAGCUGCCCUCUGGGCUUUCUAAUACUCUGUGUAACUUACGUGUUUCUUUUAUUGCCUUUCUCCUUCUUAAAUUAUAGGUUCCACCUGGGCAAAGGAUUUUUUCUGUUUUGUUUAUUGGCACAUGGUCAGCACUCAAAUACUUGCUGAGUGAAUAAAUGAAUGCUUGCCUUGGCUUAA